Molecule: RNA transcript, 2633 nt
Organism: Drosophila yakuba
Lineage: Eukaryota; Metazoa; Arthropoda; Insecta; Diptera; Drosophilidae
Gene: Caper
Gene name: RNA-binding protein 39
Exons: 3
Source: RefSeq, a predicted model, not a curated record
UCAUCGAUAAGUUAUGUGACAACCCUGAAGCCGAAAACAAGCAGCCACGCUAGAGAAGAAAAUCUGGUGGAAAAUUGACAAAAAUUAUAUUUGAAUAAACGCAAAAGCCAAUAGAGAAGUUCACACCAAGCAGGGGACUUUUUUCACGGAGCACCCCGGAUAGCACCGAAGUAAUUUUCGAACAUGGCCGAGGACUUCGAUGUGGAGGCGAUGCUCGAGGCGCCGUAUAUGAAAAACGUAAGUUCCCAAAGGUUGGUUAACAGCCGAUUAUCGUUUUAAAUUAAGUCCCAAUGGCUUUUGUGCCAACCCAAUGAGAUUAUUUUGCUGUGAACUAAAAAUGAAAGAAAAAACAGUUACUUCAUAUGUAUGUUUGUAUACUUCUUUUCCCACAUAGACACCCACAGGCGUACGUGCAUUUUGUGUUUGUAUGUAAGUCUUCGUCUCGGGCACACACACACACACACACACACACAUGUGCAGUCGAUGCAUACUAAGAUGUCUUAAAUCGAUUUUUAGCCUAAUUUUGAUGUUAAAUAAAAAAUCGGCAACCGGAACGCCAAUUUGCGUGCUGAUUUUUAUAAUUUUUUUUUUCAUACUCGACUGCGUGCAUACAGAAAAGUGUUUCGCCAACGGAAAAUCUGUCUGUGUGUGGGUUUGUGUUGUUUAUUUUUCUACGCGGCAUUUGAUACAGUCGUCCACUGCAGUGGCUGUACAGUGGGGUGCAAAAUAUUUGGCAGGGUUGCAAUCGCAACUAAACAAGUGUUUGGAAAAUAUAAAGGAUUGAAUUACUAACAGGACAGUCAUGGUUUUAUAAAGUUUCCCAUUAAACUUACUUAUAAAAAUACCAACAACGUAUGUAAGGGAUGUUAUAUACCACGUAUUUAACUUGGACUUUAAUCUCUGUUAAUGACUGAAUCGGAUUAGUAGCAAUGGUAUUCCUCUUAUCUGGGCAUGCCAUCUGUAAUAAUAUUUAAAUAGGUUUACUUCUUGGAAAAUGUCAAUAUGUCUAUAAAUAUGGUAAAAUAAUUUGGUCUGUUUCCAAAGGCCUUUUAAGUAGGAUUUACAAAUGCAUUUUUGGUGUGUUGUGGAAUAAAUCUGAUAAAAGUACCAAAACAAACAUAGUCCGACAGCUUGCCAAGGUUUUCGAAAUAGCAGGCUUUAGCCAUCUGAAGGACCAGCUAAAUUAGCCAUUGAAUUGAAUUCUCUUUCGCCCCGAAUCAAGAACCCAUGAGUUCAAAGGUCUUAUUUCUUCCUAUCUGCUGUCUCACUAAGAACAACCGAAAACUACCCACACACAAUCACCAUUAAAAAAAUUAAAAACCCAACCAAAAUGCUAGAAUAAUUCUUAAGGGUGAAAUGUCUUUGCAGAGAAUCGAAUAAGCUCAAUAUUGUUGCUAGAGAUUGUUUUGGUCAUUCUAAACACAAAAAGCUGGAGACCAUUUGGUAAGUUUUGAAUGUGCCAGAAGCUGCGAAAAAAACCAAUUACAAAAUUACAAAACAAUAAAACAAAAAAAAAAAAACCAAAACAUAUCUAGGCAUUUUGUAUUUAAUAUGAUUUGUUUAUGUUUGCGUUUUUUUUGAACACAAUCCAAUUGAAAUCGUUACCUUACUGCUCUAUGUAAACCAAUGAAACUGAACGUGCACUAAAUUUCAGAUAUACUCCUCCUAACUUGUCUGGGGCAGCAGGCAGCACUACUACUACUCUCACUCACAGUCAGACAAGAAAGAAAGUAUCGCUCAAAUUACAAAUUACAGAUUUACCAUAAACAGAAAUCGAAAAAUAAGCAUAAAUGACCAACACAUAAGCCCAAAAAGCCAAGCCAAAACCAAACCUAUUUGAACAAACAAAAUACAAAAAACGACGUCUUUUUGAGAACCAAUCAACCAGUCCACUCCACUAGCCAGCGCUAAACAUUCCCCCAAAACUGAUCUGAUUGAGAAUGAGCAUGGGAAAUUUGCCCAUGUGGAGACAACAUUUCUCGCCGUCGUGAACCAUCUGUGUGUGUGCCAUAUACAAAUUAAAUAUACUAUAUAUUUUUAGUAAAACUAUGUAUAAGAUAUCUCUCUAUAUAUCUAUAUCCUUAUUACUACCUUGCUAAAAAUUGGCAAUGAUCCCCAAAUGAUCAUUGUUGACUUAAGCAUUUCUACUUUAUAUACUUGCAGAUGCCAAAAAUUUAACUAAUUUACUUUGAUUUGCUUUCUCUUAUUCAAAAAAAAAUAUUUACGAAACUGAAAAAAUAAUAUAUCAUAACAAACUCAAUGAUAUAAUCGAAAAUCAACCAACAUCAACAACGACAACAACGUAACGAACGAUCCACACCCGUUAUGUGUUCCCACCCACCAAAAAAAAAAACUGAAACCAAUCGACAAAAAAAAUAAUCCACUUAUCUGUAUCUACAUUAUUGCUUGCGCCCAACCAACCCAUCCUCCCUGUCCACUCCCACACCCAAUCCACCAAACAAAAAAACAACCUAUCUGUGUAGAAUGUCAGUGCGGGCAGCGGUGGACGUGGUGGACGCAGGCGCAGCGGCAGCAGUCCCGGCGGCGGAGGACACGAUGAUGACGCCGAGAAUGGUCCACGGAACGGCAGCGGCGGCGGAAGCUCACACAAAAAGCAAAGCAAGCGAUCCCGG